This 926-nucleotide ribosomal RNA is filed under the name uncultured Bacteroidota bacterium. RNAcentral describes it as "bacterial SSU rRNA". It matches the Rfam family "Bacterial small subunit ribosomal RNA", at positions 1 to 917 of the family's 1533-position model. Lineage: Bacteria; Pseudomonadati; Bacteroidota. The record is from RNAcentral.
UGGAUCCAGACUUUGAUUAUGGCUCAGGAUGAACGCUAGCUACAGGCUUAACACAUGCAAGUCGAGGGGAAACGACAUCGAAAGCUUGCUUUUGAUGGGCGUCGACCGGCGCACGGGUGAGUAACGCGUAUCCAACCUGCCCACCACUUGGGGAUAACCUUGCGAAAGUAAGACUAAUACCCAAUGAUAUCUCUAGAAGACAUCUGAAGGAGAUUAAAGAUUUAUCGGUGAUGGAUGGGGAUGCGUCUGAUUAGCUUGUUGGCGGGGUAACGGCCCACCAAGGCGACGAUCAGUAGGGGUUCUGAGAGGAAGGUCCCCCACAUUGGAACUGAGACACGGUCCAAACUCCUACGGGAGGCAGCAGUGAGGAAUAUUGGUCAAUGGACGAGAGUCUGAACCAGCCAAGUAGCGUGCAGGAUGACGGCCCUAUGGGUUGUAAACUGCUUUUAUAAGGGAAUAAAGUGAGUCUCGUGAGACUUUUUGCAUGUACCUUAUGAAUAAGGACCGGCUAAUUCCGUGCCAGCAGCCGCGGUAAUACGGAAGAUCCGGGCGUUAUCCGGAUUUAUUGGGUUUAAAGGGAGCGUAGGCCGGAGAUUAAGCGUGUUGUGAAAUGUAGACGCUCAACGUCUGCACUGCAGCGCGAACUGGUUUCCUUGAGUACGCACAAAGUGGGCGGAAUUCGUGGUGUAGCGGUGAAAUGCUUAGAUAUCACGAAGAACUCCGAUUGCGAAGGCAGCUCACUGGAGCGCAACUGACGCUGAAGCUCGGAAGUGCGGGUAUCGAACAGGAUUAGAUACCCUGGUAGUCCGCACGGUAAACGAUGGAUGCCCGCUGUUGGUCUGAAUAGGUCAGCGGCCAAGCGAAAGCAUUAAGCAUCCCACCUGGGGAGUACGCCGGCAACGGUGCAACUCAAAUGAAUUGACGGA